UACGUAGGGGGCAAGCGUUAUCCGGAUUUACUGGGUGUAAAGGGGGCGCAGACGGCAGCGCAAGCCAGGAGUGAAAGCCCGGGGCCCAACCCCGGGACUGCUCUUGGAACUGCGCGGCUGGAGUGCAGGAGGGGCAGGCGGAAUUCCUGGUGUAGCGGUGAAAUGCGUAGAUAUCAGGAGGAACACCGGUGGCGGAGGCGGCCUGCUGGACUGCGACUGACGUUGAGGCCCGAAAGCGUGGGGAGCAAACAGG
RNAcentral lists this ribosomal RNA (253 nucleotides) under uncultured bacterium. RNAcentral's name for it is "partial 16S ribosomal RNA". It matches the Rfam family "Bacterial small subunit ribosomal RNA", at positions 524 to 776 of the family's 1533-position model. The record is from RNAcentral.